UUACCAAGCAUCUGGAUUUUGAUCAUGUGACCAUGGGGAUAAUGCAAUGGUCAUAAAUGUGAAAAACAGGCAUAAGUCACUUUUUUCAGUGUGUUGUAAUUUUGGAAGGUCACUAAUUGAGCUAUUGUAAGUCAAUAACUACCUGUAUUAAAACC
Non-coding RNA from Pseudonaja textilis, 155 nucleotides. The record is from RefSeq and is a predicted model, not a curated record. NCBI's taxonomy places the organism in Eukaryota, Metazoa, Chordata, Lepidosauria, Squamata, Elapidae.